RNAcentral lists this ribosomal RNA (253 nucleotides) under uncultured bacterium. RNAcentral's name for it is "partial 16S ribosomal RNA". It matches the Rfam family "Bacterial small subunit ribosomal RNA", at positions 524 to 776 of the family's 1533-position model. The record is from RNAcentral.
UACGAAGGGGGCUAGCGUUGUUCGGAAUUACUGGGCGUAAAGGGCGCGUAGGCGGUUUGUCAAGGCAGGCGGGAAAGCCCCGGGCUCAACCUGGGAACCGCGCUUGAGACUGGCAGGCUCGAGUUCGGGAGAGGAUGGUGGAAUUCCCAGUGUAGAGGUGAAAUUCGUAGAUAUUGGGAAGAACACCGAUGGCGAAGGCAGCCAUCUGGACCGACACUGACGCUGAGGCGCGAAAGCGUGGGGAGCAAACAGG